RNAcentral lists this ribosomal RNA (253 nucleotides) under uncultured bacterium. RNAcentral's name for it is "partial 16S ribosomal RNA". It matches the Rfam family "Bacterial small subunit ribosomal RNA", at positions 524 to 776 of the family's 1533-position model. The record is from RNAcentral.
UACGUAGGGGGCAAGCGUUGUCUGGAAUCAUUGGGCGUAAAGAGCGUGUAGGCGGCCCGGUAAGUCCGCUGUGAAAGUCGAGGGCUCAACCCUCGAAUGCCGGCGGAUACUGUCGGGCUAGAGUCCGGAAGAGGCGAGUGGAAUUCCUGGUGUAGCGGUGAAAUGCGCAGAUAUCAGGAGGAACACCUACGGCGAAGGCAGCUCGCUGGGACGGUACUGACGCUGAGACGCGAAAGCGUGGGGAGCAAACAGG